CAAGUACUCCCUCCGUUCUGAAUUACUUGUCGCAAGUAUGGAUGUAUCUAGAUGUAUUUUAGUUCUAGAUACAUCCAUUUUAGCACGAGUAAUUUGGAACGGAGGGAGUAGUGC
Triticum aestivum (bread wheat) is the source of this 114-nucleotide non-coding RNA. The record is from Rfam. NCBI's taxonomy places the organism in Eukaryota, Viridiplantae, Streptophyta, Magnoliopsida, Poales, Poaceae.